GGUAUUUGGGGCCCUUGGGUGUGGCAUCUCUGGCUGAGGGUCUAAACUGGUAGCCUCUAAGGUUUGGCAGCUCUCUGGGACUCUUUCAGUAACCAGUCCACAGUGUCUCCUUCUCUUCUCUAGCUCUUUGCAGCCUUCUCUCUUCAGCCUCAAUUUCCUUCCACUUCCUUCCUACUGCCAGUCUCCCUUUGUCCUCACGGCCUCUGUUCUUUGUUAUCGCCCUCCCCCAUCACCCUUUUCCACGCCUCAGCCGCUCCUCCUCACUAACCCAUGUGUUCACUGCAGACUCUUUCUUCACAGCGCUGUUACAUUUCCCUCAUUCUACCGUGUCACCCUGCUCUGCUAAUGAUAACCGUGAUGAGCAAAGUUGUUAAGGCCACCUAAAGGAAGCCUAUCAUCGGGCCUCAUGUGGCAACACUAGAGAGCAGCGCAGGAUGUCUUUUAGUUGACUCACAAAGGGAGUGGAGCAGUGUCUUGGUUUUUCUACUGCAGUGAUACUGUUAGCAAAAG
RNAcentral lists this long non-coding RNA (510 nucleotides) under Rattus norvegicus (Norway rat). RNAcentral describes it as "long non-coding RNA NONRATT019344". Lineage: Eukaryota; Metazoa; Chordata; Mammalia; Rodentia; Muridae. The record is from RNAcentral.